GUCUAUUAGCACGUGGUAGAUUUAAGUUGGGAAAUGAAUAAAUUAAUGUAAUUGAAUAAGAGUGAUCAUCUUACAUGACAAAUCAUCAAAUAGUCCUCACAGUUCAGCCAAUGAUACAUAAAUGAUAGCCACCUCCAAAUUUUUCAGUACACAUGGACAAUAAAGAUGUAGAACCAGUUGCAUUAAGUCUUUAAGAGAGUAAAAUUUUAGCACAGAUUUUGAAAUUGUAAUAUCUUUUACUAUUUGAAAAUUUAAAAUUUUUAAAUGAGAAGGGUAGAUGAAUGGAACUUUAGAAGAAAAAGAGAAAGUAUUUGGUUCUCAAAAUAAAUUUAAACUUCAUCCUAAAAAUAGCACAAGCCCACUUAUGAAUCACUGAAUAAAAAGUGAAAAACUUGAGUUGGCAACAACUCAGAGCAGCUGUGCAGAUGGCAAUGAACCCUCUCUUGUUUUGUACGGAAAAAUGCAGAAUAAAGGAAGGGGCCUUCUUGGGUCUCCAUGAACUCCUCAAAAGAUGAGGAGACAGAACCCCUACCCCAAGUACUCUGUAUUAGUUGGAUGACUGGAGCAUUAAGAGAAGGCAGAAAAGUGUACAAGCAGGGCCAGUUCUGAUACAAGCAAGGACUUUGAGAGGGACAGUGGAAGGGUCUUCUUCAUGCCCCGUACCUUCUUUGUGAUGAUAAGACUAGAGCUUAUAACCAUGCUUCCAUUUUUUUCUUCUCUGAAUACCAAAGGCAAUUAAAGUCAGCUACAAAUGACUUGCCACUGUCAUUGUUUAUAUUUGUUAUAGAUUUUUUAAUUAUUUUCUCCAAAAUCAAUCCUUAUCCCAUAUUCUGCUUAGUUUCCAAGAGUAUUCUUUCUUCUGUCCUUGAUAGCCCUUUAUAUUUUGUAGAUCUUAUUACUCAGGUUAAUACUCAUUGCAUUAUAAGACCUUCUGCAAAGAGCCUAAAAAUGCCCCUUUCCAGGUGCCUCCUCAAAGAGUUGACACCUCACCUUGUGCCUUUGGCACAAAUGUGCAGAAUAGAUAGAUCAGUUGGUACAUAAAUGGAAAUAAAAAAAUGCUGAACACCCCUCUACCUUUUACAUUUAUUUCUCUUCAUUUUAGUAUCAAACUUUUGGUUCAAACUAGAUUUUUUUUUUUAUAUCAAACAAUAUAAAGUUGUUAAAACCAAGAGAAUGGGGCCCUAACCAAAAAGAAGUCUCAUUGCAGAAAAUAAGGCCCCAGUCAGGGGGUUCUUUCUGGUGGGCUGCACAUUUUAUGUCUCUCUGACACCAACUUAUUCCUGUGUUUGAGUAGGUGUUUGUGUGUAAGGGUAAAGCCUGGGCAUUGAAGAAAUGCAUUCUUUUUGUGGAGUAUUGACCCUGAUUCUCUAUGAUGUCAUCUAGGCCAACCCAGGGCUUCACUUGGUAGAUUUUAACAAAGCAGUUUGAAAUCUUGAUCAUCAGCUCCUCAUCUUCUCCACUCUCCAUUGCCAAAAUCUUUGUCAAGACUCUUAAAUUUGUUGAUAAAAGAUUGUGCUUGCCAUUCUCAUUAUAAUAAAUUUUCUCCUUAA
This is a long non-coding RNA of Galeopterus variegatus (Sunda flying lemur), 1550 nucleotides long. RefSeq lists it as uncharacterized. The record is from RefSeq and is a predicted model, not a curated record. The transcript is spliced from 2 exons. NCBI's taxonomy places the organism in Eukaryota, Metazoa, Chordata, Mammalia, Dermoptera, Cynocephalidae.